This 222-nucleotide ribosomal RNA is filed under the name Bacillota bacterium. RNAcentral's name for it is "partial 16S ribosomal RNA". It matches the Rfam family "Bacterial small subunit ribosomal RNA", at positions 1312 to 1533 of the family's 1533-position model. The record is from RNAcentral. Lineage: Bacteria; Bacillati; Bacillota.
CCGCCCACAUGAAGUCGGAAUUGCUAGUAAUGGCAGGUCAGCAUACUGCCGUGAAUACGUUCCCGGGCCUUGUACACACCGCCCGUCACACCAUGAGAGUCUGCAACACCCGAAGUCAGUAGUUUAACCGCAAGGAGAGCGCUGCCGAAGGUGGGGCCGAUGAUUGGGGUGAAGUCGUAACAAGGUAGCCGUAUCGGAAGGUGCGGCUGGAUCACCUCCUUU